This 73-nucleotide transfer RNA is filed under the name Candidatus Roizmanbacteria bacterium RIFCSPHIGHO2_01_FULL_39_12b. RNAcentral describes it as "tRNA-Ala". It matches the Rfam family "tRNA". Rfam says of the family: Transfer RNA (tRNA) molecules are approximately 80 nucleotides in length. Their secondary structure includes four short double-helical elements and three loops (D, anti-codon, and T loops). Lineage: Bacteria; Candidatus Roizmaniibacteriota. RNAcentral also lists the same sequence under 1 other name. The record is from RNAcentral.
GGGCCCAUAGCACAAUUGGCAGUGCACUUCGUUUGCAACGAAGAGGUUAGGAGUUCGAGCCUCCUUGGGUCCA